UGGGGAAUCUUGCGCAAUGGGCGAAAGCCUGACGCAGCAACGCCGCGUGGGGGAAGAAGGCCUUCGGGUUGUAAACCCCUUUCAGUUGGGACGAAGCUUCGAGGGUUAAUAGCUCUCUGGAGUGACGGUACCUUCAGAAGAAGCCCCGGCUAACUACGUGCCAGCAGCCGCGGUAAUACGUAGGGGGCUAGCGUUGUCCGGAAUCAUUGGGCGUAAAGCGCGUGUAGGCGGUCCGGUAAGUCCGCUGUGAAAGUCGGGGGCUCAACCCUCGGAUGCCGGUGGAUACUGUCGGGCUUGAGUACGGAAGAGGCGAGUGGAAUUCCUGGUGUAGCGGUGAAAUGCGCAGAUAUCAGGAGGAACACCAAUUGCGAAGGCAGCUCGCUGGGACGUUACUGACGCUGAGACGCGAAAGCGUGGGGAGCAAACAG
This 428-nucleotide ribosomal RNA is filed under the name uncultured bacterium. RNAcentral's name for it is "bacterial SSU rRNA". It matches the Rfam family "Bacterial small subunit ribosomal RNA", at positions 355 to 775 of the family's 1533-position model. The record is from RNAcentral.